UGGGGAAUAUUGCGCAAUGGGGGGAACCCUGACGCAGCCAUGCCGCGUGAAUGAAGAAGGCCUUCGGGUUGUAAAGUUCUUUCGGUAUUGAGGAAGGUUGAUGUGUUAAUAGCACAUCAAAUUGACGUUAAAUACAGAAGAAGCACCGGCUAACUCCGUGCCAGCAGCCGCGGUAAUACGGAGGGUGCGAGCGUUAAUCGGAAUAACUGGGCGUAAAGGGCACGCAGGCGGUUAUUUAAGUGAGGUGUGAAAGCCCCGGGCUUAACCUGGGAAUUGCAUUUCAGACUGGGUAACUAGAGUACUUUAGGGAGGGGUAGAAUUCCACGUGUGGCGGUGAAAUGCGUAGAGAUGUGGAGGAAUACCGAAGGCGAAGGCAGCCCCUUGGGAAUGUACUGACGCUCAUGUGCGAAAGCGUGGGGAGCAAACAGGAUUAGAUACCCUGGUAGUCCACGCUGUAAACGCUGUCGAUUUGGGGGUUGGGGUUUAACUCUGGCGCCCGUAGCUAACGUGAUAAAUCGACCGCCUGGGGAGUACGGCCGCAAGGUUA
This 547-nucleotide ribosomal RNA is filed under the name uncultured bacterium. RNAcentral describes it as "bacterial SSU rRNA". It matches the Rfam family "Bacterial small subunit ribosomal RNA", at positions 355 to 896 of the family's 1533-position model. The record is from RNAcentral.